UUCCUUUGCUCACUGAGUUAUUCUCUUUGCAACAAUUUGUCAGUAGACUUUUGUAGAUGGCACUACAUUGUCAGUAUAUCAUAAUACAAAGAGCAUAGUUAAAACAUUAUCUAUGGUUAAAUGUUCAGUCAUGUUUGCAUAUCUAUCAAAUCGUUUUUUACUCUAGGCCAGUGAUGACUUUUGUCUCUAUAUUCUCCUUGUCACUGUCACUGGUCUUCGCUGUCUGAGUCCAAUUCAAUUUCCGGCUCUUUCGUUUCAGCAAUCUCUCUGCAAAUGCACCAGAAGUACAUCCUGGUCCACAGCCACAGUAAUAAUGGCUGUAUCUCACUGCUGCUAACAUUUAGAAAUGCUUAAAAACUCGCUAUUACGUGGCAAAUAACGAAUACAAGUACGACUGAUUUGGAUGAUGCUUAGAAUGUGUUGAGGAGGACAUCUGUUGGAUCAUUUUCAACGAUGCAUUUCUCGACUCUCAAUGGAUCGACACAAAAAACAAUUACAUAUUGAUGUUCAUCAAUCCUAUAAGAUAGCACUGAACAUGUUCAAAUUCGUCUCAUACCUUUGCAACAGUUUGUCAGUUCAGUUUGCUGUG
Molecule: long non-coding RNA, 589 nt
Organism: Halichondria panicea
Lineage: Eukaryota; Metazoa; Porifera; Demospongiae; Suberitida; Halichondriidae
Exons: 3
Source: RefSeq, a predicted model, not a curated record